Molecule: long non-coding RNA, 348 nt
Organism: Hibiscus syriacus
Lineage: Eukaryota; Viridiplantae; Streptophyta; Magnoliopsida; Malvales; Malvaceae
Exons: 4
Source: RefSeq, a predicted model, not a curated record
AUACAAAAAAUUUAGAACCCUGGUAGUGUUCCUCCUGCAACAUCAAGGCUUUCACCCCUCCCUCCUGAACCAUAUGACCGUGGUGCAACCGUAGAUAUUCCUCUUGAUUCUGCCAAGGAUUUGAAAGCUAGAGAGAAGGAACUUAAAGCAAAAGAGGCUGAACUAAAUAAGCGGGAACAGGAAUUGAAAAGGAAGGAGGAUGCAAUAGCACGAGCUGGAAUUGUAAUAGAGGAGAAAAAUUGGCCACCAUGUUUUCCUAUUAUCCAUCAUGAUAUUGCAAAUGAAAUACCAAUCCACCUGCAAAAGAUGCAAUAUGUUGCUUUCACAACAUUUUUAGGUUGAAUUGUU